UAGGGAAUCUUCGGCAAUGGACGAAUGUCUGACCGAGCAACGCCGCGUGAGUGAAGAAGGUUUUCGGAUCGUAAAACUCUGUUGGUAGAGAAGAACGUUGGUGAGAGUGGAAAGCUCAUCAAGUGACGGUAACUACCCAGAAAGGGACGGCUAACUACGUGUCAG
This 165-nucleotide ribosomal RNA is filed under the name uncultured bacterium. Its description in RNAcentral is "partial 16S rRNA". It matches the Rfam family "Bacterial small subunit ribosomal RNA", at positions 355 to 511 of the family's 1533-position model. The record is from RNAcentral.